GUGGGGAAUAUUGGGCAAUGGGCGCAAGCCUGACCCAGCAACGCCGCGUGAAGGAAGAAGGCUUUCGGGUUGUAAACUUCUUUUACCAGGGACGAAACAAAUGACGGUACCUGGUGAAUAAGCCACGGCUAACUACGUGCCAGCAGCCGCGGUAAUACGUAGGUGGCGAGCGUUAUCCGGAUUUAUUGGGUGUAAAGGGCGUGUAGGCGGGACAGCAAGUCAGAUGUGAAAACCAGAGGCUCAACCUCUGGCCUGCAUUUGAAACUGUUGUUCUUGAGUGUCGGAGAGGUAAUCGGAAUUCCGUGUGUAGCGGUGAAAUGCGUAGAUAUACGGAGGAACACCAGUGGCGAAGGCGGAUUACUGGACGAUAACUGACGCUGAGGCGCGGAAGCGUGGGGAGCAAACAGGAUUAGAUACCCCUGUAGUCC
Molecule: ribosomal RNA, 428 nt
Filed under: uncultured bacterium
Lineage: Bacteria
Description: partial 16S ribosomal RNA
Rfam family: Bacterial small subunit ribosomal RNA
Source: RNAcentral